Non-coding RNA from Oryza glumipatula, 205 nucleotides. Lineage: Eukaryota; Viridiplantae; Streptophyta; Magnoliopsida; Poales; Poaceae. The record is from Rfam.
AAAAAGAAAAAUCCUGGUUUCCGUGCCCAACGUUUGACCGUCCGUCUUAUUUGAAAAAAUUAUAAAAAAAAUUAAAAAGACAAGUCACGCAUAAAAUAUUAAUCAUAUUUUAUCGUCUAACAAUAAUAAAAAUACGAAUUAUAAAAAAAUUUCAUAUAAGAUGGACAAUCAAAAUUGGACACGGAAAUAUAUGGUUUGCCUUUUU